This is a long non-coding RNA of Bolinopsis microptera, 1784 nucleotides long. RefSeq lists it as uncharacterized. Lineage: Eukaryota; Metazoa; Ctenophora; Tentaculata; Lobata; Bolinopsidae. The transcript has 2 exons. The record is from RefSeq and is a predicted model, not a curated record.
UUUGUUGGAGUUGAUCCAAUGCAAAGGGCUUUAGUAGUGAGUUGACGAUAUUUCACGAUUAGAGUAUUACACAUUUUGUCAACAGAGAUUUAAAGACUAACAUGAAAUCACCUCGACCUUUCCGAUUCAAUUGGCAGACAACAGAGAGAGUAGUAACACACCCGUCACCCAAGGAGGACUGUGGGAGCUGUGGUUUAAGUUCAGGUCUAAACUUACCCAGUACUAGAAGCUUGGUAAGGAGAUGAUGAUGAUGAAGAAGGACAUCUCUAGUGAUGCAAGAGAUUGGAAUAUACUGUUUGACGAAGAUAAAUACCCUGCCCAAUUCCCUCAGCAUACCUACAAUGCUAGAGGUUGGAUAUUUUAAUUUUGUCAGUUAGUUCCAUUCUCCAAGAAUAUUUUAGUUUUACUGAUUGAACUGACAUGUGGUGAUGAGAGUAACUUCAGCUCAGUGACCAAGUGGAAAGGAAGAAAAAACCAAAAGAGAGCUAAUUCCCGGGAUCACUGGUGUUGACUGGAUUGUGAAGAUCUUUAUGGUGGAUAUUUACUGCAGAGUCCUGUGGCACCACAUAAUUCUUUUCAACUACUUUGGUCUAAAGAACGAAGACGGUAGUACUGCAAGAGAUUGCUUUGAAAUCUCUUCAAUGUUUCUAAUCAACGGUUCAUCUAAGUGUUGCAUGCACAAAACAUGGUUCAAGCUAUAACCGCGGAAUCACAAGUACUGGUAACUGAGAUGCCUUCUAACAACCAGAAGCCCAGAAGAAACUGCUCUUUCAAGACAUACAGUUUAAGGGCAUAAUUGUUUUAAUUUUAUCUGCUUUUACUGUAGUUGAACUGCAACUAUCAUAAUCUAACAGACAUGAUGGACAGUUGAGCUGAAGAUUACAUAUAUAUUUGGCUUUCAUUUAUAUCAGCGUUGUUUUCAAUGGCCUUCAAACUUCAGCUUUUUUGAUGAAAUAAGACCCUUCAUGAUUGAAUUUCUCAGAAGUUUAUUAUCUUACUGUUGUUAAGUAAGUUUUUCACGGGGAUAUAUUCAUAAAAACACUGUCUAACAUUUACUUCAUCAAAGGUAUGUGAAUUUACAAACUACGAUUCUGAUAGAAUUGAAAGCUACAAAAGUAAAGUGACAGAUCUUUUUGCACGAUAACUGUCAUUAUCCUCCACCAUGCUGGGUUCCUGACCUUGCUUCAUCUAAAUACACAGCUGGUCAAAACACUAAACGCUAUUUUAAAUGCUUUGUGGUCGACUGAGGAGCAUUGGUAGACAUAUUCAAUGGUUUCCACAUUUACGGAGACCAAGAUAAUAAAUGCCACGCACACUAUAGUUAGGUACAGCACACAGAACAUUGCUAAAUUCUAGUCCUGCCUCAUCGAUUUGAAAUGAGAAAUGAGCAGACAAAAGACGAAAAAGAUUGACGCUCAGGACUGCCACAUAUAGAAACAACUGCAACGAUUAAAUGCCUAAGGUCUAAUUGGUUAGUGAACAAUUGCUGAAGCCUGUAACCGGAGAUUUGUGCGUUAAACAUAUUACAUCAGACUACACAGACUUUUAUGAGCAAACUGAGAAUCGCCAGGACACAGAAGCGAAGGGCCCCUUCUAUUCGGUUUUUGGCAAAAAGCUUGAGUGUUGAUUGUUGAACAUUGGCCUAGAUAAACUAUGAACUUUUUGAAACACAGGGCGUUUGUUAUUUUUCUGAUGUGAGUUGGCAACAUAUGAUCAAUCGUUGGUCUGUUUUAUAGUUACUUUAAUGUGUACAUUUUCAAUUCUGUUAAGUCUUUUAAGUAUAA